RNAcentral lists this ribosomal RNA (440 nucleotides) under uncultured bacterium. Its description in RNAcentral is "partial 16S ribosomal RNA". It matches the Rfam family "Bacterial small subunit ribosomal RNA", at positions 338 to 795 of the family's 1533-position model. The record is from RNAcentral.
CCUACGUGAGGCUGCAGUGGGGAAUAUUGCACAAUGGGGGAAACCCUGAUGCAGCGACGCCGCGUGAGUGAAGAAGUAUUUCGGUAUGUAAAGCUCUAUCAGCAGGGCAGAAAAUGACGGUACCUGAUUAAGAAGCCCCGGCUAACUACGUGCCAGCAGCCGCGGUAAUACGUAGGGGGCAAGCGUUAUCCGGAGUUACUGGGUGUAAAGGGAGCGUAGACGGCAGCACAAGUCUGGAGUGAAAUGCCGGGGCUUAACCCCGGAACUGCGUUGGAAACUGUGCAGCUAGAGUGAAGGAGAGGUAAGUGGAAGUCCUAGUGUAGCGGUGAAAUGCGUAGAUAUUAGGAGGAACACCAGUGGCGAAGGCGGCUUACUGGACUGUAACUGACGUUGAGGCUCGAAAGCGUGGGGAGCAAACAGGAUUAGAUACCCCUGUAGUA